RNAcentral lists this ribosomal RNA (502 nucleotides) under uncultured bacterium. RNAcentral's name for it is "partial 16S ribosomal RNA". It matches the Rfam family "Bacterial small subunit ribosomal RNA", at positions 29 to 523 of the family's 1533-position model. The record is from RNAcentral.
AUUGAACGCUGGCGGAAUGCUUUACACAUGCAAGUCGAACGGCAGCACGGGUGCUUGCACCUGGUGGCGAGUGGCGAACGGGGGAGUAAUACAUCGGAACGUACCCUGACGUGGGGGAUAACGUAGCGAAAGUUACGCUAAUACCGCAUACGUCCUGAGGGGGAAAGCAGGGGAGCGCAAGACCUUGCGCGUUAGGAGCGGCCGAUGGCAGAUUAGCUAGUUGGUGGGGUAAAGGCCUACCAAGGCGACGAUCUGUAGCGGGUCUGAGAGGACGACCCGCCACACUGGAACUGAGACACGGUCCAGACUCCUACGGGAGGCAGCAGUGGGGAAUUUUGGACAAUGGGCGAAAGCCUGAUCCAGCCAUUCCGCGUGAGUGAAGAAGGCCUUCGGGUUGUGAAGCUCUUUCGGCAGGGAAGAAACGGUUUUGGAUAAUACCCAGAGCUAAUGACGGUACCUGAAGAAGAAGCACCGGCUAACUACGUGCCAGCAGCCGCAGUAA